RNAcentral lists this transfer RNA (71 nucleotides) under Marmota monax (woodchuck). RNAcentral's name for it is "tRNA.Ala". It matches the Rfam family "tRNA". From Rfam's summary of the family: Transfer RNA (tRNA) molecules are approximately 80 nucleotides in length. Their secondary structure includes four short double-helical elements and three loops (D, anti-codon, and T loops). The record is from RNAcentral. Lineage: Eukaryota; Metazoa; Chordata; Mammalia; Rodentia; Sciuridae.
GGGGUUGUAGCUCAGUGGUAGAGCACUUGCUUUGCAUGCAUGAGGCACUGGGUUCGAUCCCCAGCACCACA